RNAcentral lists this transfer RNA (65 nucleotides) under Sarcophaga pauciseta. Its description in RNAcentral is "tRNA-Phe". The record is from RNAcentral. Lineage: Eukaryota; Metazoa; Arthropoda; Insecta; Diptera; Sarcophagidae.
AUUCAAAUAGCUUAUAUUUAGAGUAUAACACUGAAGAUGUUAGGGAGAUUAUUUAUCUUUGAAUA